UGAGACGGAGGGGGCAAGCGUUGUUCGGAAUUACUGGGUGUAGAGAGGGCUCAGGCGGAUUUGUAAGUCAGUGGUGUAAUCCUUAAGCUUAACUUAAGAACUGCUUCUGAUACUGCAAGUCUUGAGCAUAGAAGAGGAGAACGGAACUCCCAGUGUAGCGGUGAAAUGUGUAAAUAUUGGGGGGAACACUCAUGGCGAAGGCAGUUCUCUGGGCUAUUGCUGACGCUGUUGCCCGAAAGCCAGGGGAGCGAACAGGAUUAGAUACCCUGGUAGUCCUGGCUGUAAACGAUGAUCACUAGGUAUUGCCGACUUGUCGGCAGUGCCGCAGCUAACGCGUUAAGUGAUCCACCUGGGGAGUACGGUCGCAAGGCUG
This 373-nucleotide ribosomal RNA is filed under the name uncultured bacterium. RNAcentral describes it as "bacterial SSU rRNA". It matches the Rfam family "Bacterial small subunit ribosomal RNA", at positions 521 to 896 of the family's 1533-position model. The record is from RNAcentral.